This 35663-nucleotide long non-coding RNA is filed under the name Nicotiana benthamiana. RNAcentral's name for it is "long non-coding RNA (NBEN_LNC016881)". The stretch from base 26454 to 26546 matches the Rfam family "MIR6152 microRNA precursor family". The record is from RNAcentral. Lineage: Eukaryota; Viridiplantae; Streptophyta; Magnoliopsida; Solanales; Solanaceae.
ACAAUAACAACAAAACUAAUGUAAUUCCACAAGCGAGGUCAGGGGAGAGUAGUGUGUGCGAAAACCUUACCCCUACCUUGUGAAGGUAGAGAGGUUAUUUCCGUAGACCCUCGGCUCAAGGAAGAGUGAACAGAAAGCAACCAACAAUAACAACAGCAAGAAAAAACAAAGACACAACAUGUAAUAACAAAGUUCUAGAAAUAAGAUUAGACCAGAACCUUCAUGUCCAAUUAAGACUUAAGAGUAUCUUUUUUACUAGACUGGAAAAGGAUAAGGAUUUCGAUGAGAAAAAAUCUGAACCAUCCAACUCAAAAUUCUAUUAGAAAAAAGAGAAAUGCAAUAACAAACAACAUCAAGGAACAAAAAAAGUCAAUCACUUCCCACGCAUCAUUGCUGCCUGAAUAAUCUAUAAGACUUACACUACUUAUAUUUUUUUUUUUAAAGGAUUUUUCACUAACCUACUUUUUGAGAUAUUGGAUCACCAUAAAGUACCAGCAAUAUAAACUGCUUUACCAUGACAAAAAAGUUCCAUUUUGAAGAACAUAACUAUUGAACCAUACCAGUACUAGCCAGCUGGACUAUUUUAGUGAGCAACAAUUUGCAUCGAACACUGUUACCUCUUAAUCUCACCACAGUAUGUAAACUAUUAGAAAAACAAUUAUGACAGCAGUCUGCACCUUCUUGAGCAGUUUCAUUUUCAAGAAAAACUGGAAAAUGGUCAGCUAAAUGCCUUCAUCCAUUUCUUCUUCUAUACCACUCACCAGUUUUCCUACUUACUUCAAUCAUUUGUUAUAGGAUGAAUGAGUAGUUAGAAUGUAUUCAAAGACCAAAAAGUGCAGUCUCCUUUAAGAAUAUACCGUGGACCUAAAUUUGCAGUUAGGCUCCUUCAAGAAUAUUGCUAAGAUCUAAGUUUGCAGUUAGUUAAUGAUUACAAUUGUCAAGUUACAGGAAUUAUCUACUGAGAGAUUCCAAAGUGGAAAUAAUCUUGAGUCAGUACUCAGCAAAGAUUCAUCAGAAUCAGAUCCUAACAGUUCUAAAGAUACAGUGAGGGAUGGUGCAACUCAGACGAUAUUAGAUAUUAAGAAAAAACUUGUUCACCUCAAGAAGCAACUAAGAGAAAUUUAGAAGAGCAGUAAAACAUACUAGAAUUCACCUUUCUUCACCGCUACCAAAGUUCCAGUGGCACAAGCCUACUGAAGAUGCAGAAAGAACACUUCUAACACCGGCACCAACUGUAGGAUCAGCUGAAAGAGAGCACACAGUAUGAACAGGAUUGCCUGUCAACCCAGUCAUACAUUCCACUGGCCUCGCAGUUUGACGUCCAUCAAACUGCAAAACCAUACCAUUCUGCACGAGACAAAACAAAAAAUAUGAUGCAUUAUUCAGAGAAAAAGAAAGACCAGAAACACCAACUAUUUUUUCUGUUCGAUAAAUAACAAUAGUAUUGCCUGUACUUGAAAGAGAGACUAACUUGUGAAAACAAAUAAGUGCUCACUCAAUACCAACUUGCUUGUCACUUUGGAUUCAUUGUGGGCCAAUUUGGCUUCUCAGCGAAAUUAGGUAAGAAUAUGUUUUUUCUUGUUUUUAAUAAGUAUAUAUUUAAUCAUUUUUUGAACAUUAGAUUUUUAAAAACUACAUUAAAGUAAUAUAAGUUGUUAUUUUCCACUAUGUCAAACUAACGAGAGAAUAGAUUCAGAAUUAUUAGUCAAAGUUAUUUGUUUGACUCCUAACAAACGAAAAGUGGGACCAUUUUUUGAACAGACAAUGUGUUAGGACCUGUAAUCCGGCAUACAUGUAAUGCGAAUUGUUGGGAUCCCACGAACAUGACCAAGGAACAGUCUGCACAUUCCAAAUAGACAAACAAAAUGAAUCAAAUUAACUUGGCCAAGAGUAUCCAUUAGCAACAAACCUAUCCUAUAGAGAAAGGUCAAUAACAGUAACAAAUAUUGGGGAAAAAACUAUUAACAGUAACAAAAGGCUUAUUAUCAGGAAAGGAUAUUACUGAGAAUAGAAAAGUGGAAGAUGCAGCAAUUGAAUCUAAGCAAUCAUAGCAGCAGGACAUUCAGGAGCAUGCUAUAAAGGCCGUACUUUUUGUAGUUCAGGAGAUGCAUUUGUUACAUUGCAAAUCAGGUCACUAUUUCCCUUUAAAGUUUCAAACAUGGAAUUGUCUUUGAUGAUUGCAAGAAAUUCCUUCAAUUACUUGACAAGUUACCGAAAUUUAAAUCCAAGUUAAAGAAGCCUUGGACUUGACAAACUCAUGACCCAGCAACAGGACAUGGGCAAUUAUGAGAAAAAUUUACUAUUAUCCCAAGUGAGCUGCCCCCCCCCCCCCNNNNNNNNNNNNNNNNNNNNNNNNNNNNNNNNNNNNNNNNNNNNNNNNNNNNNNNNNNNNNNNNCCCAAGUGAGCUGCCCCCCCCCCCAACACCAACAAUUAGAUGACAGGGAAAAAUGCAGCCCCACCAUUCAGACAAACAUUCUGAAUCAGGUAGAAAGUAUAGAUUUUGAAAAAAUCGACAGGCGCAAGUAGUAUAGCCAACCACAAAGAAGAAAAAAUCAAGACAAAAGAACAGAAAGUUCAAGAGAAACAAGGCAUGCAAAUAUCAGAUAUAGGACAUAAUCUUCUGCCGAAAAAGAGUGAGAUUGAGGUCUAUGAAUUAGGAGGGUGGGGUAGAGCAAAAGCUAAUUGCUGUUUUACGAAAAUUUGCAUUUUGUCAACUCUCAAGUGGUCAAUCAAAACAAAAAAGUAACAGCUUUCACAAGAUGAGUAGGUGGUGUUAAAGAUCGUCUUCUGAUGCCAAUAGUGAAGAUCCAGUCAAAUCAAAUAGGUCGUUCUGUACAUUUAACUGUGAAAAUGAGGGACCUUAGCAGGCCUUACCAGUUAGUGUAAAGUGUGUACACAUUAAGUAAAGAAAAACUACUCCAUAAGAACUCUAAUCAACAAUCACUCAAGCAGAGAGUUUCACAUCCAAAGAGCUUAUCAACCAAAAAUAAUAAUAUGUUAUCCAACAACUGCACGAGCAAUCUUUACUUUACACAAACUUAAGAAUUGACGGCAAAAACACAACUAUAAAAGGCCUAGAGUUAUUACCGGUAAGUCGUAUGUCAGAACAGCAUGGUUGUUUUCAGCACUGCAAAAAGAAAGAGAUCAAAUAAAUAAGCUACCUACCAGGAGGGAAGCACAAAAUAGAAGCUGUUCUACAGCAAUUCUUUUGAUCAAGUGCAUUUAGCUGUAUGCAGCAAUUAUUUGGCAGAAAGUGGAUUAGGGAGGUUAUCGACCUAAGAACUGACAAUUUCUUCCCUAAGGAAGCCAAGAGUAUAACUCUUUCAUGAGGAGAAACAUGCAAGUCCUUGAUAGUUUUCAUGCUCGUAGGAAGCAGAAUGUCUUCUCGUUCAUGCGGAGGUAAUAGGCUGAUCUGCAAAAUGUAAAAGUAGAAAAAGUUGAAGCAUAUAUGCAGAACAAAAACCAUCAGAGAAUUCCAAUAAGGCAACCUAAGAAAUUUACUUUCGUAAGCAUAUGCUGUCCUCCCAUUCCAGCGAGCCUUCUAGCAAUCAUCAAAUUCUCACCGUUGCUAUCCACAUCAAAUAGGCGAGCACCAUCAAUCCGAAAUUCUUUCUGCAUUAAAGCUUAUUGCUAAAUCUCCAUAAUCGCGAGCACCAGACUCAAGGGUAGAAGCAUUGUGAUACUUUCAAAAUAUUUGAUGGCAGAGUCUCGUGCUGAUAACGUGUUAUAAAACAAUAAACGAACAAGAGCAAUAUUGCAGAAAAAGAGAGAGAAAAUUCUUAUUGAAUUUUGGGGUGAUUUACAAUGGGGUAAGACCCUCUAUUUAAGCAUAUGCUGUCCUCCCAUUCCAGCGAGCCUUCUAGCAAUCAUCAAAUUCUCACCGUUGCUAUCCACAUCAAAUAGGCGAGCACCAUCAAUCCGAAAUUCUUUCUACAAAUGUACAAAACAUAAUGUUACUAACUCAUUAAAACUUCAGUCAAUGGCGCUAAUUGGACGAACGUAUGCUGCGUUCAUUCCCAAUACAAAACAAGUAAGGAAAAAGAGGUAAGAGAGAAAAGAAUAGAAAUCAUAUCUUGGAACAAGAAGAAGGAAGGGAACUGACCAUCCAUACUACUUUCUCUCGCCUACAGACUAUUGAUGAUGUGAGGUAAGUGUUAACCAAAAGGUGAGCAUAUUUCCAGUGCAUCUUUAUACACAAGUUGCAAUAAAUGUGGAACAACAACGGAUAAAGGACUAAUGAUUACUCUGUUGAUACUAUCAGGUAAACAAGUUGCAACAGAUGUGGAGCAACAAUGGAUAAAGGAGUAAUGAUUUCUGAGUUGAUACUAUCGUCUAUCAGUAACCAAACGUGUACAAAAAAUUCCUAUAGCUCAAUUUUCACAUUUGACAAAAGUAUGGGAGAUGGCAAACCUGUAUAACAAAAGCAUUCGCAUAUUCACGUCUUCCCAAUUUGGAGUCAAUAUUGCGUCCUUCACGACAUGGAUAGGUACUGGAACUUCAGUGUGAAACGAUGAUAGAACAUAGCCAAUAGGAUCAAUAUCCCUAAGUAAAGAUUUCUCAAGGACUGCUUACCAAAAAUGUGUCCAGAUGACCUGCUCUGCGUCUCGCUUUGCGAGCCCUCUACACAAGUUAUUCUCUAUGAAGAGCAGAUAUGCAGCAAGUAAUAUGUCGCUUUAGUAAACAAAUGUUAACAGAGAUACCUAUACCACUACUGAUUGCACCGAAACUUGUUAUCCAAAUUUUCUCAAGCCAAAGAAAUGGCAGAAUAAAUCAAAAACACAAAGAAGAAAGGGCUAAACUAAACUAAGAAAGGGGAUAUACACAAUUAAGAAUAUUUCUUAAAAAGCCCAAACAAGUACCUGCCUUAUAGCAUUGAAAGAUGUCAUAUUCUGAAGAAUGUUAAAAGGGAAUGCUGGCAGGAAAAAGAGGGCCACAAUAUGUACUAAAGAAAGUGCACCAAAGUCAAUCUGUAUUCCAGGAAGAGUGUGCAAAUAAUUUAACAAUGGGUAAAGACUAAAGAGAAUAUAACGUUGGAGUUUCCAAAUAAGGGAAAAGCAAUAACGAGUAAACACGCAUGAAGUAGAGUUGAUCAGCUUGUUUUGCAAAUCCUAGGAGAAAGUUUGAACAAAAUUUUACAAUGGAUGUUUUGGUAGUAAACAAAUCACUUAAAAAGACAACCAAGACAAAGGAAAAGGUGAUUCUGGAAACAAUUUAAUCUGAUACUCCCCUCCCCCAUCUCCCCGCCACUAAAGAAAAGCCCCCCUACACUUCCAACCAAACAAAAAAGAUGCAUUGAAGAAGGGAGGUGUGAAGAAGCUGCACAUAACACAAAUAGCACACAAAGUGACACAUACCUCUUUGAGGUGCUUCAGUUGCUUAUGCAACUCAGCUUCUCUCCUCCUCCACUCAACUUCUUUCUUACACCAAUCACUGCACUGCGCAAAUUGAAUAUCGUCUUAUAAUCACCAUGAGACAUGUGAAGAAAAAUGUAAUUUAGAAUCUCCAGAGGGGGGACAAAAUUGUUUUCAAAAGUCAGUUAAAGCUGAAGUGUCAUUGUUGUGGCUAACCCACGGUUAUUUUGAUUCCUGGUGAAGCAUAAGCUGCCAGGUGACUUGAAUGCCCUUACAUAGAACAAUGAAGCUAGCUGUUAAAAGCAAAAAAUUCCGAUUUACAUAGUGAAGAAGGUACAAGGGAGAGGAGGCAACAAAGGUGCCUUCCCUUUAGGCAAAAGCUUCAACAUUAUGAGGGAAGAAAUUAUGUUUAUCUUACUCAUUUAUGUCUAUUUUUAGACGAUUAAACUCUUCACUGAUACUCAUCUUUAUCCUAGUGUGCCAACUCAAGAAAUGAGAGAAUCAUCCUUACCUAUAACAAUUGAUAAGAGGUUUCUAUACAAAACAUACAUUGAGUUUUUAAAUCGUGAGCAAUUUGGUCCAUUUGAAAACUAGUCAUCUUCAACUACACUGUUCCCUUCUAAAUUUGAGUAAAUGAAAAGCCUAGCCUAAGAUAUAAAAAGAUAACCAUCAUCAAAUCGUCAUGUUGUUUCUUUUCUUUUUCUAACAUAAGGUUUUAUCAAGCUUUCACUUUUUCGAUCGAUCUCGCCGACAGAUGAUCGAAUGCCUUAGUUGGUCAGUCCUGUGCAUGGAAAAGCUUGAAAGUCUCUACUGUGAAUCUUCAUUUAUAGUUUAGACCUGAGAUGUAUCAGGAGAUAGCAGUUACAAAAUCAAAAACCCUUCUUCUUCUUUUCUCUUACCUCUUUUUCAAGAGAAAAACAUCUAGAUUCAAGAGACCGUAUUUUCUGCAAAAGAGGAAGGAAUUGGGUCACUAUCUCAUGGAGCAAACUUCAAAUUAUAAGCAUCAAAUGAAGACCUUUUGAAGCUCUUCAUCAACAGCAUGAAGACGAGAAGCAUAAAGCACUCGGACACCCUUCAAUGUGCAUUUCUUAUUACAUUGAGGGCACUACAAACAAAAACAAAAGAAAGAAUGUGAGGGGCCAACUGAAAAACGGAUGUCAAAAUACUGCAUAAAACAAGAACCAAAUUAUUAUGAGAAAUACCUUUCCUAAACUUCCUUUUUGUUGCAACCACUUCUUGAUACAUGACAAACCAUAUAUAUGCCCACAAGGAAGGCAGCUGCAAAAGGUUAAAAGGUGGAAGAUAAUGGAAGUAUUAACACUUGAAAACUGUAUUUUCAGUUGUCAAUUAUAUAUCAAGCAAUCAACUAAACCUCAACUCCAACUGGUUUGUCGACUAUAUGAAUUAUCCAUAUACAUUCCAAUUUAUUUGGGUCAAUGUCAUUCCAUUAUUAAAGAAGUUGUGUUUAAAAUCAGGGGUUUUCCAAAACUAGAGAUUUCUAAAUACCAUUUUUAUCCCUACAGUCACAUGUAAGUCUCUAAGCAUAACUCCAAUAAGUUAAUAUUGUCGAUACGAGUCUUUUACUUGCAUUAUAUUACAUUCUUAGCUAGGUCCGCAUUGAUUCAAUAGUUUAAAGGACUUUAAUGACAACUGUUUUCCAUGUGAUUUUAGUUCUUUAUCUCCUUCUAACACCUUAAAUCAUCAUAUCUGUACACCAACUAACUGAUGCAUUUGGAUGGCUAAAUAGAACAUCCACAAACAAUAUCAAACAACCUUCCAUCAUUUCAUCCUCUAUGUGUAUUACACUAUCUGUCGGAUGUGAUAUGUGAUCAUUCGGCAGUCACUUAUUCAAAAGAACAGAAAAUUCAAGUGCUUUAAUUGGGAAGGUGAAGAUAGUUAUUCAGUUUCAUGUGUUACAGCCAUAUAGUAUUUCUUAGAAUUUACAUCAAUGUUAGUAUAAUCAGGCCAACUGAAACAGACUCCUAUUAUCUAUAACACAACCCACAGGCCAUCUAAAUUUGGUAUCCAUUGUUUUCAUCUUCAAGGAAAACAAAAUAGAAGUCCUCUGCAGCAUCUCAAUGGUUCUUUUCAAGUUAUAUCAUUCUACUUAAAUUGUCAAAAUAGAAGCUGCUUCUAAAAAACUUAUUCCUCUUUACAUGUUGAACUAAGCGUAAUUUUUUUUAUCAAAAGGUAAAAGUUUAAACGAGACUAAGAAGAUCUUGACAAAAAAAACAGAAUGGAAACAGAGAUCAGUACAGCAGAAAUAACAUUUUAUUGUCCUAUAUCAUUCCCCCAAGGCUUCACCUUGCCUGUUUCACAAUUGAAUAUAGAUGAUUAUUUUCUUCUUUUUCUUUUUGAUAAGGUUUCUGCCUGACCUACUUUCUGGCUAGCUUCUUUAUGGCAAGCGCUAUGGACCAUGCGGGAGCGCCCCUUGUCUCCCACUCAAGCGAAUAUAGAUAACUUUAACAUUCGUAGGCAUAACACGUUCAGUUACAUAAAGCCGAAACUUAACAUUAUUAAUGAUAAACAAUCAACACGAACCAACUUUUUUCAAAAUUGAAACGGGUCCAGUGGAGGGGAAUGGAUUAUAUGGAUUCAUAUAGUUGAUGUUGCUCGGACUCUCCAAAAGUGAUGCCGCACCCAUAUCGAAUACUCCAAAAAUGCACUAAAUUUGGAGGAUCCGACAUGCAUCCAGCAUUAAUGAAAAUCCAAGUAAUAUAGGUUGAUCCAACAAGUUAUUGAACAUAGUUUGUUGUUGAGGUUGUAUGCUAUAGACGCCACCACAAUCAAAAAGGACUUAAGUGAUAUGCACUCACAGUGUAAUGAGUGCAGAUUAACUUGAGGUUAAUUACCAUUUAUUACAACAAAUGCAUACUAAGUGUAAUCCCGUAAGUGGGAUCUAGGGCGGGUAGCGUGUGCACGGGCCUUACCCCUACUUUGUGCAAGUAGAGAGGUUGUUUCUGAUAGACCUCAGCUCAAGCCUCAAGGAAUGCAAAUUCACAACAAUUUUGAAAAAGAAAUCUGGUAGUUAUAAAAGGAAGCAAUAACAAUAGCAAGAUAAUAAGAUAACUAAACCAAAAGCAACAAGUAGUAGAAAUCUAAGAAUAAGGAUGUUCUAGCAACAACAACAACAAAAAACUCAAUAUAAUCCCACAGGUGGGUUCUAAGGAGGGUAGUGUGUACACAGACUUUACCAUACUUGGUGAAGGUAGAAAAGAAUAAGCAAGUACUAGAAUGAUACUAACACUACUUGUAUGGAAAGAAUAUACGGUAGACUACCUACUAACUUUCUGCCUUAACACUCGACCUCUACACCCUUCUAUAAAGGGUCAUGUCCUCGGUAAGCAUAAGAAUCAUGUCCUGCCUAAUCACAUCUCCCCAGUACUUCUCCGACCUACCUCUACCUCUACCUCUACCUCUACCUCUACUUAGAUCCACCACUGUCAAUCGCUCACUGGACAUCUGUGAAUAUCCUAUUCACAUGCCCGAACCAUUAUCACCAUUUAUUUUAGGUUAAUAAUCAACGCUAUUAAAUAGGUUACUUACUUGAUUGUGUAAAUACAUCACCACAAUCAAAAAGGACUUAAGUUAUAUGCACUCACUGUGUAGUGCGUGUAAAUUAACAUGAGGUUAAUUACCAUUUAUUUUAGGUUACUAAUCGAUGUUAUUAAAUAGGUUACUUUGUGUAAAUGCAUCCCCACAAUAGAAACGAUUGUUAAAUUAUAUGCACUGACAGUGUAACGAGUGUAGAUAUCUUGAGGUUAAUUGCAUAGAACUUGAAACUCAAUAAUAGUAGAUGGAAGGACAAAGAAGUAAAUUACCAGAUUUGGUGGUCGCCGUCGUUGGUCCAAGCUUCCAUGCAAAUCGGGCAAAACAAACCUUCAAUCUCACUCCGAUUCCACUCCCCUUCUACUUCACCUCCAUCGCCUUCUUCCUUAUCAACAUCUUGCGACGCCUUUCCCCCGCUUUUGGUCCUCCUCGUAACAUCGUCACUUUCCAUAGCGGAAUUAUGAAAAUUCUCAGCAUUAAUCGCCUGCUGUUGAGAUGAAAUUGUUGCAGCACUAUGAUUCCCGUACAAAACCGUACGCAAUGUCGUCCUUCCAGCACUCGACUCUUCAUUGCCAACUUCUUCAUCCUCUUCUUCUUCUUCGUCUUCUCCUUCUUCCUCUUCUUCUUCGGUCUCUUCUUCCUCUUCUUCUUCCUCAUACUCUGCAUCAUCUUCUAAAAAACCGACGUCCUCUGCCAGUUCAACAUCGUCACCCUCGUCGCCACCGACGGCGAUUAGGUGGAGGAAUCUCUCGUAAUCCGGGUCGGAAUCAUCGGCCAUUGCUAUAAUUGGAUUAUUACGCGCCUUAGGUCACAGCAUUCGGCACUCAAUUUUUCAGAGCAAAUUUUUGGGCAAAAGUGCGUUUGGCGCUGAAAAAAAUAGGAGGGAAGUGAAAGUGUGAAACUCGAGACGCUCUCUUGUUGUACUAAUAGAGGACAAAAAUAUACAAAAAGAAAAAGAAAUUAGGGAAAGCCACUUUAAGGUAGAGGGGAGAAUAUUUGGUUUUGAGUAAUAAAUUUAAUUUAAUACAUAUGAUUACACAUUAAUUCAAUUUAAAGAAAUCAGUUUUGUAUUUCUUAAGGCAGCAGUAGAGAUUUUCUGGGCAUUUAAAUUUAAAUUUAGUGAAUAUGAGAAGAAAGAAGGGGUGAAUAAAAAAAGAGAUGAAUGAUGGGGAAAAUACAGAUAAAAUGAAAAGAAGAAAAAUCGAAAUACUUAUUUUAAAUAUUUGAAAUAAUAUUUUCAGAUUAAUAUUUGGUUUACAAUUUGAUCUAUUAUUUCAACUACAACUUCAAUUUUUAAGCUUUCCUUUUAGCAUCAAUGGAAUACCAUCCAAAACUCGUACUGGUUUGUGAAUAAAAUUAUCAACAACAAUUUGGUAUAAUCUUACUUAGUGGGAUAUGAAGAGGGACUUAGUAUGGUCUGGGGAAGUUAGUGACGAGGUUAGGACACAACAAUCAUAUAAACAUAUGUAGUUAAAUCAUAUACAAAUCGAAUUAUAAUAACAAGAAUCAACAGAAUAAGGUGGGAAUGGGACAUGCCGCUAGGAAUAUCAGAUUCUAUCAAUAAACAAAUAAAUAAGCAUCAAUAAAUGAGAAAAAUAAAUGUCGCUUCUAUAUCAGCAAGAAUAAUGAAACGGUAAUAUGUGCACAGCAUCAUCCUUCGUGCUUUUACUUUCUUCAUCGCCAUGUGAAUCAAUAGAAACGGCAGUGCAUUACCCUUCGUGCAUUACCUCACAUAUUCAUGCACGGCAUUGCCCUUUCGUACAUUACACUCACUCACAAUAUCAUGCAUGGCAUCACCCUUCGUGCUUUACACUCUUUCUCGCCCAAACAAUACAUCCCGGUAAGGGAAUUAACAAUAUCAACCAUAACAUCCCGGCAAGAGAAUCAACAUUCUCAACAAUGAUAUCCCGACAGUGGAUUUAGCUAUAACCAAUCUCAUUUUCAACGAUCACUUUACAAAAAUAAAACUCCACUUGAGCCAAUACUCAACAAUAGUCAAUACCAAUAAAUAUUUCAUAAGCCUUGUUCAACAUUUAUAAUCAUCAAUUUGAGCAUGAUCGAUACAUAAUAGAGUCACAACAAUCAUGGUAUAAGACUCACUGGCAUGCUUGACACCAACGUAUAGAUACUCGUCACCACACCUAUACGUCAUACUCGUUACUAACACAUUUCAAAUAAGACCACAACUCAUAUUUCCUCAAGCUAAGGUUAGGCCAAAUACUUACCUCGAUUCCAUGAACAAGAUUAAGCCUCAACUACCGUUUUACCUCUCGGUUCCACUUACAAUUCACUUGUAUAUAGUCAUAAUUUACUUAAUAACGUUAAUAAAUGCUAAAUAAAUCAGUUCUAAUGCAUGAAAAUAGAUUUUCCAUUAUUUUUCCCAAAAAGUCAAAAAUCAACCUCGGACCGGUUGGUCAAAACCCGAAGUUCAAACCAAAACCCGAUCACCCAUUCGCUCACGAACUCAAAUAUGUAAUUAGUUUUUAAAUCGGAGCUCAAAUUAAGGUCUAAUUCCCCAAAAUUUGAAAAUUCUAACUUCUACCCAAAACUCUCAAUUUCCCAUGAAAAUACUAUAUUUUGAAGUGAAAUCAUAUAAAAAGAUGUUAUAUAUUGAAGAAAAUAAGUUAAAAAAUAGUUUACCUAUGAUUUAGGGAAGAACUAUAUUCAAUAAAAUUGCCUAUAGGAGUUUAGGGUUUGAAAAGUUGUAAAAUAAAGCAGAAUUAUGUCGAAAUCCCACUUAAGAGGUCUCAAAUGUCACAAUUGCGAUUAGGAGUUCGCAACUGCGAACCUUUUGAAAUCCCGUCAUCUUCGCAUUUGCAAAGAAAUAGUCAUAGUUGCGACAAAUGGAGUUCACAUUUCCUAGUCUUGAGGUCGUAAUUGCGACGAGGGCCUACCCAGGCUUGGUUCACAAAUGCGCAAUUGUGACACUUUGGUCGAAUUUCCCAAGCCUUGCCACUUUGCAAAUGUGAAGCCUGAUCUCGCAAUUGCGAGAUUAGAGGCCUGCGCAAAAAUACCAGAUGCCGGCUGCAAUUUUCCUAAUCCAAUUCACUCUGUAGCCUAUCCAAAACUCAUCCGAGUCCCUCGGCUCCAAACCAAACAUGCACGCAAGUCUAAAAAUAUCAUACAAACUUGUUUGUGCGAUCAAAUUAUCAAAAUAACACUAACAACUACGAAUUUAAUCUCAAAUCCAUGAAAUUCCUCAAGAACAUUGAAAUUUCUAUUUUCUCAACUAAAGGCCCGAUUUAUACCAAAUCAACUCUGACUCUUACCAAACAUCACAUAUUUGACUUAAUUAUUAUUUUAAACAUGUACCGGGUUCCGGAACCAACAUACGAGCCUGAUACCAUAAAAACACACAUCACUUCAUUUUUUAAAAAUAUUUAUAUUUUCAGCAAAUAAUUUUGUUUACAAAUUCUUUUCUCGGGCUAGGGACCUCGAAUUCUAUUCCGGGCAUAUGCCCAAGUCCUAUAUUUUACUACAGAUCCUACAUAACCGUCAAACCACGGGUUCGGGUCCGUUUACUACGAAUGUUGACCAAAGUUAACUUUAAUCAAUUUUAAAGGCCAAAAUUCAUCUUUUUCUUAAAUUUCACAUAAAAGCUUCCCGGAAAUGCGUUCGGACUGCGCGCGCAAAUUGAGGUGAGACUAAAAGAGAUUUUCAAGGCCUCAUAAUACAAUUUUGACUUCUAAACAAGAGACGAACUUUAGGAUCAUCAUAUUCUCCACUUCUAAAACAAACAUUUAUCCUCAAACGGACAUAUAAAAAGUAUCCGAGUCGGUGAAAAGAGGAGGAUAACAGCUCCGCAAAUCAGAAUCAGAUUCCCAGGUUGCUGGAUCAAUAGGCUGACCUCUCCACUGCACACGAACUAAAUGAAAAUUCUUUGAUCUCAACUGACGAACUUGUCGGUCUAAAAUAACUACCGGCUCCUCCUCAUACGUCAAGUCUUUGUCCAACUGGACAGUGCUGAAGUCAAACACGUGGGAUGGAUAGUCGUGAUACUUGAAACACUGUAUGCACUGUUGAUAAAUUCAGUGGCAACGUAAGUAUAUAAGUCACCUCUCCCACUCGAUCGGGAAUCUCAAAAUGACCGAUGAACAAUCAUGGUAUAAGACUCAAAUAAAACUCCACUUGAGCCAAUACUCAACAAUAGUCAAUACCAAUAAAUAUUUCAUAAGCCUUGUUCAACAUUUAUAAUCAUCAAUUUGAGCAUGAUCGAUACAUAAUAGAGUCACAACAAUCAUGGUAUAAGACUCACUGGCAUGCUUGACACCAACGUAUAGAUACUCGUCACCACACCUAUACGUCAUACUCGUUACUAACACAUUUCAAAUAAGACCACAACUCAUAUUUCCUCAAGCUAAGGUUAGGCCAAAUACUUACCUCGAUUCCAUGAACAAGAUUAAGCCUCAACUACCGUUUUACCUCUCGGUUCCACUUACAAUUCACUUGUAUAUAGUCAUAAUUUACUUAAUAACGUUAAUAAAUGCUAAAUAAAUCAGUUCUAAUGCAUGAAAAUAGAUUUUCCAUUAUUUUUCCCAAAAAGUCAAAAAUCAACCUCGGACCGGUUGGUCAAAACCCGAAGUUCAAACCAAAACCCGAUCACCCAUUCGCUCACGAACUCAAAUAUGUAAUUAGUUUUUAAAUCGGAGCUCAAAUUAAGGUCUCUCACUCCCCGGCCAUGAAUGACACACUGUGAACCUUACAGUCGGCGUGACUCUUUUGCCUAGAUUGAGUUGUACGAAGCCUAUCCUGAAUGAUCUUAACCUUAUCUAGGGUAUCUUGUACUGGAUUUGUACACAAUAACCAAGCCUCUCCCGGCUCAAACCAUCCAACCAACGACCGACACCGCCUACCAUAUAAUGCCUCAUAGGGAGCCAUCUGGAUACUCGAUUGGUAGUUGUUGUUGUAGGUAAACUCUGCCAUGGCAAGAACUGAUCCCAUGAACCUCCAAAGUCAAUAACACAUGCUCGGAGCAUAUACUCUAAAGUCUGAAUUGUAUGCUCAGACUGUCCGUCCGUUUGAGUAUGAAAUGUUGUGCUCAACUCGACCUGAGUACCCAACUCAUGCUGAAUUUCCCUCCAGAAAUGCGAUGUAAACUACGUACCUUGAUCAUAAAUGAUAGACACAGACAUACCAUGAAGACGAACAAUCUCCCGAAUAUAAAUCUCCGCCAACCACUUAGAAGAAUAGGAAUCUGCCAUAGGAAUGAAAUGCACUGAUUUGUCAGCCUAUCCACAAUAAGCCACACUGCGUCGAACUUCCUCUGAGUCCGUGAAAGUCUAACAACAAAGUCAAUAGUGAUAUUCUCCCACUUCCACUUGGGAAUCUUAAUCUUCUGUAACAAACUGGAGGGUUUCUCAUGCUCGUACUUUACAUGCUGACAAUUCAAACACCAAGCUAUAUACGCAAUAAUAUCCUUCUUCAUCUUCCUCUACCAAUAAUGAUAUCGCAAGUCCUGAUACAUCUUAGCGGUGCCUGGAUGAAUGGAAUACCGGGAACUAUGGGCCUCAUCUAGAAUCAACUCACGAAGUCCAUCCACAUUAGGCACACAAAUAUGACCAUGCAUCUUUAAACCCCCAUCAUCUCAAACUGUAACCGGCUUGGCGCCUACGUGUCGCACUGUGUUUAAGGAUAAGCAAAUGCGGAUCAUCUUACUGCCAAUCUCGGAUAUGUUCAAAUAAUGAAGAACGAGCAACUGUGCAAGCUAACACACUGUUGGGCUCAGAAACAUCCAACCGUACGAACCAAUUAGCUAAAACAUGAACAUCCAAAGCAAGCGGUCUCUCACCGACUAGAAUAUAUGUAAGGCUGCCCAUACCGACUGACUUCCUACUCAAAGGAUCGGCCACUACAUUGGCCUUCCCUGAGUGAUACAAGAUGGUGACACCAUAGUCUUUCAAAAGCUCCAACCACCUCAUAUGUCUCAAAUUUAGCUGCUUCUGCUUGAACAAGUAUUGCAAGCUCUUGUGAUUCGUGAACACCUCACAUGACACGCCAUAUAUAUAAUGCCUCCAAAUAUUCAGCGCGUGAACAAUGGUUGCUAGCUCCAAAUCAUGAACUAUAGCAAAGCAUAUGCAAUAACCUUUCAUUAUGCAUCAACACCGCACCAAGUGAAAUAAGAGAUGCAUCACAAUUCACUAUAUAUGGCCCUAAACCUGUAGGUAAUACCAACACUGGCACCGUAGUCAAAACUUUCUUGAGCUUCAGAAAGCUCGCCUCACACUCGUCCGACCACCUAACUGGGCACCCUUCUAGGUCAGCCGGGUCGUCGGGGCUGCAAUAGAUGAAACCCCAUCCACAAGUCGAUGGUAAUAGCCCGCCAAACCUAAGAAACUCCGGAUCUUGGUAGCUGAUGUAGGUCUAGGCCAGUUCUUGACUGCCUUAAUCUUUUUAGGGUCCACCUGAAUACCCUCCGUUGAUACAACGUGGCCCAAUAAUGCAACUAAACUCAACCAAAACUCACAUUUCGAAACCUUAACGUAUAACUGACUGUCCCUCAGAGUCUAGAGAAUGACCCGAAGAUGUUGCUCAUGCUUCUCAUGGCUGCGAGAAUAGAUCAAAAUAUCAUUAGUGAAGACAAUCAUGAAAGAAUCCAAGUAAGGCUUGAACACUUGGUUCAUCAAAUUCAUGAAAGCUUCUAGGCGUUUGUCAACCCAAAUGACAUUACUAAUAACUCAUAACGCCUGUACCGAGUGCAAAAAGCUAUCCUAGGGACAUUGAAUGCCCUAACCCUCAAAUGAUAGUAGCCAGAUGUCAAAUCAUUCUUCGAAAACACUUUGGCACCCUAAAGAUGAUCAAACAAAUCAUCAAUUAUAUGGAUACUUAUUCUUGAAUGUGACCUUGUUCAACUGCCGAUAGUCCAUGCAUAUUCUCAUUCAUCCAUCAUUCUUCUUAACAAACAACACCGGCACACCCCAAGGCGAGACACUAUCACGCCCUGUUUUUCCUUCAUAUGGAGGCCAAGAUUUCGACAUUCAUGAGGAAACAACUCAUUUUCUUUUGGGAAUUGAGUGUUUGAAGAGUCGCCACCUAACAUAUUAAGAUGCGUUAGGGCACCUAGAGCAGUUAAAUCAUGUAACCAGUUUGCAUUUCCAGAGAUUAUGGUAAGUGCUCGAAAAACCCUUAAGGGAAAGGUGUUAGGCACCCCUCGCGGUCCACAAUGGUGGGUCCCGACCGAACUUAGACUAUGUGAAUUAUUCAAUUAACAAGUAAGAAGCCUCAAUAUAUAUUUGCAAAUAAAUGUAGUUUACACUGUCUAAAUACAUAUAUUAUCAAGGAGAUUUAGACAUUUUAAACACAUAUAUGAAAAGAAAAGAAGUUUAGAUAGUUUAAAACAUAUGAAUUGGGGGUAGUCCUAAGUUGAUUAGCUUAUAUGAUCAAUCUGUGAAAUGCCCAAUAAUCCUCCGUGACUAGAGAGGCUACACAGGACAUUAGCAUGCAGGUCAUCAUAUCCUUUGACUAUCCAUUACCCUUCCCUUAAUGGUUAUAUAAGCAAAUUUGAUUAACGACCUUUAAGCGUACUAUUACUCGUCCCUUCCUUGUGGUCCCGAAGGAGUUUAGGACCUCUAAACUUAGGCAGUUGUAAACAAUCCUAAGGUAUUUAAAAGGGAAAAGUCUAGGCGACAACAAAUAGCACAUACGACUGUCAAUUAAGGAAAUAGAUAAAAAGGCUCAUGUUUACCUCCACAUAUGCAUAGACAAAUAAGCAGCACAUCUCAAACAACUGAUUUUAAAUAAAUUCAAAAAGCCUGGGAACAUGAUAUCUAGAUGAACAUUACAUAAUAGAACAUGCAAUGUUUGUUUUAAGGGGAAGUGGCAGAAUCCUAACCAUUUUGCUUACUAAUUAUAGCCUGUUAAGCCUGGAUAAUUUCAUAUAUGACCAUAACCUGAUUUUGUAGUUAUCUAACGGCCUAAGGAUUGCCUAGGCGUGUAUAUGCAGUCAUGAUCUAGGAACCACUUAAACAAUUUGAUGUUCUUUUAUCCUAUAGGCGUGGUGAUCUAAGUGGUGAAUAUAUAGAAGGUGAUUUUAUACUGAUUCAUCCCAUAACAUGGUACCUAUAUGUGGGGCUGUUUUAACCUGCUUAUUUUAGCGACAUGUUUCGAGGCAGAUGUACUCGUAAUCCUAAAACAAGAUCUCUAUGCACAUGGAGAAGGUCAUUUUAUUUUAAACAAUAUUAAUAACUUAAUUGCAGGAUUUCUAAGUGAUAGCGACUUAUGCAGAAUCAUAAGUGAAAUGAUGAACUAUAACAUGUGAUAUGCAGAAGCAGUAAAUAUGAUUGUCAUAAGUCAAGGUAUCUAAUGCACAAAUUUUGCAUGAUUUAAUGCGAGUAAGCAUAUCAAUCAUAAGGCAUGAUAUCUAAUGUGUCAUACAAAUCAAAAACAUGAUUUCUACAGCAACUCAUCAUAAUGUAAAACCUAAAACAUAGUUUCUACCCAAUUUACCCCCACAUAAUCAUAUAGUUACCCUAUCAUUUGUACUAGUUAUCCCAAUAUCUAUUUAAAAUGGAUUAUUACAACCCAUGAUUUAGUAAAUUACAUCAAUGAGAAGUAAACUUAUACUAUAAAAAGCUCGAAGCAUGCCCAAAAUAAACCUGGGAGUACCAGCCUUCAGAGUAGUCUCAAAUGCUCAGAAAUCGCAUAGCCAACAAAUGUCCAGGUGUGUCAGAGUUCCCUAAGGACCUCAAGGAUCCCAGAUAGUGCUCUCACCAAGACCUUUCUCAAAUAGAAACUAGAUAUGUGCAGUGGGGAAGAGCCAGCCCUGGUAUGCAAUAGUUCAGAGAGAUCUCAAGGAUUCCUAAGUAGUACACAUACCAGAGGAGUAUAACUUAAUAAUCUAAGAGUAAAGUGAGAAUGCUUGGCAUAGUUUGAAAGAUUUAGUGAAAACAAUAUAAAGAUAACUCUAAAAGUGAAAAGAUUUUUUUAAAAUAGAAAUUAGUUUUGGUGGUGAAAAAAAUAGUUUGAGAAUAGUACCAAAACACUUUUGAAAACAACAAACAACCAGUUGGUUAAAAACAUCUAGAAUAAAAAAAACUUAACAAACAGAUCUCACGUGAGGGUAAAGGGAUUGGGGAUACAUUGAAUUUACAAUUUUAAAUAGAACACAUGACAGGGCUCAGGGAGGCAUACAGUCAACAAAAUGCAUAGAAAAUUUAGAAGCUUAUAGAAUCAACAUGUUAGUCAUGAUGGUAGGUAAUAGAGACAUGUUGAAAGCAAUGAGACACUAGACAGAAUCAAACACACAACUAGAGUCAGUCGAAUUCCUUAAAGAUUAGGUAACUAACAUGAUUUCCUCUGGAAAGGAGAAUAGAUAAGGGUGAAUAGACAUGAUGGACAAAUAUCAAAUGGACAACUAUAGUUUGUAAAUGCUAAUUACAUAUUGAACAAAGCAGGAUCAUACAUGCUAAGUAAGGCAGUAAACAAGAACAUAAAUUGAAUCUGUAACUAAUGAGCUAGCACUGAAAUGAAACACAUAGAGUUUAUGUUUCAAAAUUUAAUUGAGACAUACCAGCCAAGUAAGAGAAAUGCAGAAUAUGAAAGAAACAGGUGCAAUUCCACUACCUAGAGUUGGCUUUCAGCUGGCUAGACCCGCAAUAGCACAUGUAGCAUAUGUAGCAAAGAAGGAGAGGAGUUUGAAUGUAUGUGCGUGUUAUGAACUGAUGUUCGUGUUUUAAAAAGUUAAAUAAGAGAAUUUAUAUAGUAGUUCAAGAGUAGAGCAAGUGAGAUAAAAGAAUCAACUUCAGUUAAUCAAGAGAAGAUCACAUAAUCAAUUACACGAAAAAUCAACAUAUUCCUUAAUUAAUGGUAAUUAACCAACGGUAAGGGCAGAAAUUUUUUUAAAAAAGUAAUUCAAAUCGGACUUAGGCAAAGAGUGAAUAACUAGGAAUCUAAUUGAGGAAAUAAUCGCGCAAGGAAUCAGUAUAUACUACAUGCAAUUUAAAUAAGGCAAAAAAGACUAACUAAAGUCAUAAACAAGGAGACAAUCAAUAAUCAUGCACAUGAAAUUCUUAACUGAGAAAGUCACUCAACAAUUCUGAAAGAAUAUUUCAAUCAUGAACAAAACAGGUUGAAUAGAACUUUAGGAACACAAAGAAAUUAGACAAAAAAUAAUUCAAAAACCCUAAUAUAUAUUAAUUAGGAUAAAAAUCUCAAAGCAAGGAAUUUGACUAAGGAAAAGCAUGUAAAUCAUAAUACAUAAUGAACCAAUAUGACUAGUAACUUGCAAGGCUCAGAAUCGAAGCAAAGCAUCAAACAAUUAGCGACUUAACAUAAACCAACUAGCGUUUAUGCAAUUUUAGCAUAAAUCAGUCAAGAACACUUAAGAACAAACAACUAAGCAUUCAAAAGUCAGAAAAAACUUUUGAGAAGACCACUUAGGGUAAACCCUAGUUUAGGACAAAUGAGAAAUCAAUUGAAAACCAGAAAACUUUCAAGGAAAACAUGUGAGAUAUAUUCGAUUCAUCUUAGAUCUAAUACAGAUCUGAGAAGAUCAGAGAUAACGAUUAGGGUUUUUUUAGAAAGCAUGAUAGAGAUGAGAACACAUGCCUAGAAAAUCAUGGAUUCAUAUCAAAAUAGGAGAGGUUUCUUACUCAUGCUCGAGCAAAUGGCCUGAAACAGGAAAAGAAAUCAAAGGUGCAAACCAGACAGCCUAGGUCCCUUGAGAUCUUCCCAAUGAUCUAAGGAACUGAUGAACCAUAAGUGGUAGAAGGCCAUUACAGGCUUGAGACGACAAAGAAACAUCAUAGAACAAAGUGAUAAGCCGGUAACGGCGCUUGGAUUAAGGUUCUGAUAGAGAGCAUUCGAGAGAGAGGGGAAAGGGUGACGACGGGAUAUGGUAGAAAUGAAUUAGGUUAGGAGGGCGAUCGUUAGGUUAAUUAUGGUAAGGACAAAUAUGGGCCAUUGAUCUCAAAGAUCAACGACCAGGAUUAGGGCAGGCUUGGGUCGAGUCUAGAUUAAUUGGGGUUGGCUUUGAUCGAUUUAGGUUUGGUCUUAGUGGGUUAGGGGAUGAAAUUGGGUGGGCUGAGUGCGCAGAGCUAAAUUAGUACAAAAGUCAAUAUCCCUGUCGGGUGGCAUCCCCGGUAGGUCUGAAGGAAAUACCUCUGGAAACUCACAAACAACAGGCAUAAAAUCCAUGGAAAGAACCUCAACACUAGAAUCACGAACAUACGCCAAAUAAGCUAAGCACCCUUUUCAAUCAUACGCGGAGCCUUUAUAUAAGAAACAACCCUACUGGCAUAAUGAGUGGGAGUCCAUCUCCACUCCAAAUGAGACAAAUCCGGUAAGGCUAAGGUCACAGUCUUUGAGUGACAGUUCAAUACAACAUAAUAAGGGGAUAACCAAUCCAUCCCCAAAAUAAUGUCAAAGUCUACCAUAUCAAGAAGUAAAAGAUCUACACAGGUCUCAGAGACCCUAAUAAUAACCACACACGAGCGAUAGACUAAAUCUAUAAUAAUAGAAUCACCCACCGGCGUAAACACAUAUACAGGCGCACUCAAAGAAUCCCGAGGCACAAUCAGAUAAGGGGAAAAAUAAGAUGACACAUAGGAAUAUGUAAACCCCGGAUCAAAUAGAAUUGAAACAUCUCUACUGCAAAUCGAAACUGUACCUAUGAUAACUUCAUCCGAGGUCUCAGCCUCAUGUCUAACUGGCUAAAUAUAACACCGGGGUUGGGCCCCACCACUUUGAACUAUAUCCCGAGGACGGCCUCCUGCUGGAUGGCCUGCACCUCUAGCUGCUUGACCUCCACAUCUGACGACCUGAUCUCCACCUAUAACACCUCAACCCUACCUCUAGCUGGCUGAUCGAGCGGUGAAACAUUCGGUGCUUGAACUAUGGAACGGAAACCCUGAUGCUGAGAGCCGCUCGGUGCUCGAGGGAAAAAUCUAGCAACAUGCCUCAUGUCGCCACAAGUAUAAUAAGCCGUCCACUGCUGGUACUGCUGACCUUGACGGCCUAAGUGACCACCCUGAAAACUCUGGAUUGAUGGUGCACUGAUAGGAGUUGGUGGUGCACUAUAGGGCAUCUGAUUAAAAUACUGCAUAUGAGUACCACGACCACUUGGAGCACCGUGAGAAGCCUAAAGUGAUGAAUGAAAUGGCCUGGGAGAAUGGCCCCUACCAAAAGAAUCCUUACCUCCAGAUGAGGCACCAUUAAACCUGCCAGAAUGAUGAGGCCUCUUGUAAUACCUACGACCACUCCCUUGUGAUAGAACCAUCUCAACUCCACUGGCCACAAUGGUUGUAUCAUGAAAAGAAAUCUCGCUCCAUGUCGCCUUAUCCAUCUGCAAUUGAACCGCCUUAGCGAGUCUCUCAAUGAACCUCCUCCCCAUCCCUCUCUCCGUGGGAAGUAUAAUAAGAGCAUGACGAGCCAAGGCAAUAAAUUGGGUAUCAGACUGAGUGACAGUCAUAAAAUCAUGUUGAAGACGCUCAAACUGCUUUGAUAGCUCUCAUUCUGAGUGAUAGGAAGAAACUUCUCCAAAAAUAGAUGAGAGAACUGAUCCCAAAUCGAAGCCGGUGACCCAGCUUGUAUGGCCAAACAAUAAUCACUCUACCAAGUUUUGGAGGAACCUGGCAGAUAAAAAGCAGCAAAGUCAGCCCUAUUGGUCUCCACUAUCUCUAUGUUCCGAAUAACCUCGUGACAGCUGUCCAAAAGGUCCUGGGGAUCCUAUGAAGAUGUACUGCCAUAGGUAGUAGUGAAAAGCUUGGUGAACCUAUCCAACCUCCAUAAAUCGUCAGUAGACAUAGUUUCUCCAUCACCAUUCUGAGCCACAAUACCCAACUGAACUACCCCAACUAGCUGAGCUGCUCGGGUUUGAAACUGAGGAGCCAUUUGCUCCGAAGUGCGACUAGUGGGAGUUUGUGCUCCUCCCCGGUCUGAGAGAUGGCUGGUGUUACGAGAAGUAAUCCUGCUUGAGUGAUACUCUCCAUAAGGUCCACUAGACGAACCAGAGCAUCCUAGAGUACCGGGGUGGCGAUGAAUCCUUCUGGUACCCGAGCUGGCCCUGCUGGAACGUUCUGGGCUGGGGCCUCCUCCUCAAAAUCCACCUGAGGCACCACCGCUUGUGCUGCUGCUCUGGGCCGAGUUCUGUCCCUACCUCGGCCUCUAUCAUAGACUCUGCCUCGUCCUCUGUCCCUUGUAGGAGCUACCACUAGGGGCUCAGGCUGUUGAUGAAGCACUUUUCUCGCCAUCUGCAAAAGAACAUAGUAGAAGUUCAAUUAGCAUUGAAAAUUCAAAUCGCACAACAAAAAAGAAUAGAUGUUAAGUUAUUCCUAAACUCUGUAGCCUCUGGGGGAUAAGCACAUAUGUAUCUGUACCAAUCCCUCAGACUCUACCUAGCUUGUUCGUGAAUUGUGAGUCCUAAGUAACCUAGAGCUUUGAUACCAACUUGUCAUGACCCGAAUUUCUCAUCAUCGGGAGUUAUGAUGGCGCCUACUCGUGAAAGAUAGGCAAGCUAACUAUUAAGGUUCUACACAUUAACAAUCAACCCCAACAAUUAUAGACAAUAAAUAUAGCGAAACAAAUGAAAAAGGGCGGAAGAGUUAUAACAAACCCAUAUAAUCCAAUACAUGUCUACCCAUAAAUUUGGUGUCACAACGUCACGAACAUCUAAGAAUUACUACAAACACUGGCCUGUAAAGAAAAGUACAACUGUUAUCUUAAUGAAAAGAGACAAUAGAAAGCUAAAACAGGGAAGGGAAACUUUAGGCUGGACACCAACAGAUAUACCUUGGUCUUCGUGGACUAAAUGCAGCUACCUCAGCUACUCACCGGGUCCAAUACCGAAAUCUGCACAAAAGAGUGUAGAUUGUAGCAUCAGUAAAACCGACCCCAAGUACUGAGUAAGUGUCAGGCCAAACCUCGGCAUAGUAGUGACAGGGCUAGGACACGGCAAUCAUAUAAAUAUGCACAGUUAAAUCAUAUACAAACAAAAUCAUAAUAACACGAAUCAACAUAAUAAGGUGGGAAUGGGACAUGCUGCGGAGAAUAUUAGAGUCUAACAAUAAACCAUUAAAGAAGCAUUAAUAAAGGAGCAAAAUAAAUAUAUUGUCUAUAUCAACAAGAAUAAUGAAAUGGUAACACAUGCACGAUAUCAUCCUUCGUGUUUUUACUCUCGUCUUCACCAUGUGAUCAAUAGACAUGGCACAACAUCACCCUUCAUGCAUUACCUCGCAUAAUCAUGGAACGACAUCUCCCUUAGUGCAUUAUUCCUCAAAAAUAUCGACAUGGUAUCACCCUUCAUGCAUCAACUGUCAAUCAUGGCACGGAAUCACCUUCGUACAUUAACACUCAUAAUAUCAGCACGACAUCACCCGUCGUGCAUUACACUCACUCACAAUAUCAUGUACAAAAUCACCAUUCGUGCUUUACACUUUUCCUUACCCAAACAAUAGAAGCAAUACUUCCUGGAAAUGGAAUCAACAAUAUCAACCAUAACAUCCCAGUAAGGGAAUCAACAAUCUCAACAAUAACAUAUCAAAUUAGACCACAACUCUCAUUCCCUCAAGAUAAGGUCAAGCCAAACACUUACCUCAAUUCCACGGACAAGAUUAAGCCUCAAAUACCAUUUUACCUCUCGGUUCCACUUCUAAUUCACUUGUAUCUAGUAACAACUUAUUUAAUAAUAUUAAUAAAUGCUAAAUAAACCAAUUCUAAUGCAUGAAAAUAGAUUUUCCAUUGUUUUCCCCAAAAAGUCAAAAAUCAAUCCCGGGUCCGCUUGAUCAAAACCUGAAGUUUGAACCAAAACCCCAUCACCCAUUCACUCGCGAACUAAAAUAUGUAAUUAAAUUUUGAAAUUGGACCUCAAAUUGAGGUCAAAAUCCUCAAAAUUUAAAAACUUAACUUCUAAAAAAAAAAACCAUAAUUUCCCAUGAAAACCCAUAUAUUUUAAAGUGAAAUCAUAUAAAAAAGAUGUUAUAGAUUGAAGAAAAUAAGUUAGAAAUCAUUUACCUAUGAUUUGGGGAAGAACUCUCUUCAAGAAAAUCGCUGUGGGAGUUUAGGUUUUUGAAAAGUUGGGAAAAUGAAAAAGAAUCCCGUCAAAAUUGCACUUAACAAGUCUCAGAUGUCGCAAUUGUGACCAAGGGUUCGCUGUUGUGAACCCUUUGAUAUCCUGUCAUCUUCGCAUUUGCGGCGAAGGGAGUUCGCAUUUCCCAGCCCAAGGUCACAAUUGCAAUGAGGGCCUGCCCAUGCUUUGUUCGCAAUUGCGACACUUUGGUCGUAUUUCCCAAGCCUGAUCACUUCGCAAAUGCCUAGCUUGAUCUCGCAAUUGUGAGAUCAUAGGCCUGGGCAAAAAUAGUAGAUGCCAAUUGCAAUUUUUCUAAGUCUAAUUCACUCCGCAGUCUAUCCAAAAUGCACCCGAGCUCCCGAGGCUCCAAACCAAACAUGCACGCAAGUCUAACAAUAUCAUACAGACUUACUCGUUCGAUCAAAUUAUCAAUAUAACAUCAACAACUACGAAUUUAACCUCAAAUUCGUGAAAUUCCUCAAGAACAUUGAAAUUUCUAUUUUCUCAACUAAAGACCUGAUUUAUACCAAAUCAACUCUCAUUCUUAUCAAACUUCACAUAUUCGACUUAAUUGUUAUUUAAAACCUGUACCGGACUGCGUAACCAACAUACAUGCGUGAUAACAUCAAAAACACACAUUAUUUCAUUUCAUAAAACUUUAUAUUUUUUCCAGCAAAUAAUUUUUUCUAAAAAAUCUUUUCUCAGACUAAGGGCCUUGGAAUUCGAUUUCGGGCAUACGCCUAAGUCCCAUAUUUUAUUACGGACCUUAUGGGACUGGCAAAUCACGAGCCUAGAUCCGCUUACCAAGAAUAUUGACCAAAGUUAACUUUAAUCAAUUUUAAAGGUCAAAAACAAUCUUUUUCUCAAAUUUCACAUAAAAACUUUUCGGAAACGCACACGGACUGUGCAUGCAAAUCGAGGUAUGACUAAAAUAGGUUUUCAAGGCCUCGGAACACAGUUUUAACUUCUAAAACAAGGGAUGACCUUUAGCGUCAUCACGCGAAUCCCACAGGGAACUAACGUACUAAUUAGAACUGCUAGUUUCACAAGAAUUCAAGUAAUCAACUUCCAAAAAUAUUGAAUAAUCAGUUGAGUGUUUACUAACUAAUACAAGAUGAUUAAAAAACUGUAAUUUUAUUUCUAAUAAAGUAAAUGUUGUGCGCAAUAUUAGAAAGAUCUAGGGUUACGGUUUCCCCUCUUAUUGGAAUCUUCUAUGCUACGUCUCCCAUAAAUUCGCUUAGAUACUCUCUACUGACCAUGAGAAUUUUAGGUGUCGUAAUUCUCUUCCAAGUAAAUACAAUAAUUUACUAAAUGUGUUCUUCUGAACUACACUAACUAGCACUACUUUACCGCUUACUAAGAUCGCACCAAGAUUUUGUUAAUCCGAAUCCCACCUUUAAACCAUCCGGUUUGAUCCUUCAAAUACGUUAUGAGUGAUGUUGUUCAACAACUACCUAAAUAUGUACCCUUUUCUAAAUAAUAUUCACUAAAUAGGCAUAUCCGACUGAAGGCACUUCAAUCAACCAUAACAGUCGCGUAGUUGAACAAGUAAAGAAAAUCCAAUGGCUAAUUUAUAUUAAAUGCAACAAAAAUUCAUCCUUCAAGAGGUUUCAUCAUACGCUGAGUAAGGAUUUUAGCUACUCAUAGUUAUUUUCACAACCACAAUAUAAGAAUUCAUUAUCAACAAUAGAACAAAUGGAAGAAGAAAGAUAAAAACUUUUCGAAUCUUACGUCUUGCUUCUUGCCUUCAAAUUCUUCUAAAAACCAAGAUAUCCUCUUUUUGGACGAGUCGGGCUUCAUAUAGGUCAAGGGAGUCGCCUCCGAAAUUAGCCCUGGAAUAUUUUGUUCGGAAGGACGUGCAUUGUCGUGCACCUGGGAAGAUGACCGCGCACUUUGGUCGAAAGAAUCUCAUUUUUCUUUUAAAGUGCCCUAACCUCCUUUGAUCCUCGAACGAAUUCCCAAUUUAUUCCACAAGCUUUUACUUGGCCUUCAACGCUUCAUAUUCAAACACUUCCUAAUUUCACCAACACGAAAUUGCUCCUCUAAAAAGGUACUCAAUAUGAGCAUUUUACUACCAUUUAACGCUCAAACAUCAUUAAAAUGCAAUAAUUUGGAGUGCAAAUAUUUGCCAAAAUACAAAGUUAUAGCCUACUAUCAAAUAGCAUCCAAAAACAUGUUAUUUAGCAUUUUUUAAAAUGGAAAAUGAUAUUGUAGCCGCUAUUAAACUAAUAGUCAAAAAAUAAAUAAUUUUUUGUAUAUAUAUAUAUACAAAAAUUUUAUAAAUUUUAUACAUUUUUCAGCUAUUGAACGUAAAUAGGGAAAUUUACAUAAUGCACUAUCUUUUAGUAGUAACUAGUCAUCUAUAGAUACUACUUGCUAUAUUACAGAUUAUAGAUACCUUUUAUGUUGUUAUAAGAUGUAUUUGAUGUAUUUAAACUAUUGUAUUCAUGAAUACAGUAGCAAAAAUAUUUGUGAAUCAGGGAAGUCCAGCUAAUCAGUUGUUAUAUUUGAGUGUAUUCGACUGUAUUCAUAGAGUGAAGCAUGGGAUUACAACUGGAUAAAUUAUUCGACUGUAUUUCACGGCGUGAAAUAUGAGAUUACACUAUUUUUAAAACGGAAAGUGAAUCAAUUAACAAAAUAGACUCCUAAUAUAACUCAACUAACUCAAUUAUAACACAUAAAAAUUGUAUUUUCAGCUAUAGAAAGUAUUCUCAACCGAAAAAUACCCCCAAAAUAUAGCAAUCUUCAGAGAAAUUAUAUAAUAAAUCUGAACACAUAAAUUAUAUUGAUUAAAAAAAAUAUGAAUACAUUCAUGGUAUAUAGCGAGACAGUGUAUACAAUAAAAUACAUAGAAUACAGCAGAAUAUAUUAAAAUCCAAUUAAAAAAGACAUUGAAUACAAUGAAAUACAUGGAUUACAACGAGAUAUAUUGAAUUAUAAUUAAAAAAAAGACAUUGAAUACAAUAAAAUACAUGAAAAUAUAUUAAUAGAAAAUUAAGUUGUUAAGCCCCAAACUCCAUCGUCUUUGUUCAAAAACAAAGACUAAUUUCCGGCGAAUCCGCCGUAGCAACGUUUGAAAGUCCUAUUUUUUUUUUUUCGCCAAAGCGACGGUAAGUCCCUUAUUCAUUGCCUUAACAACAUCCUUAUAAGAAAGAGUAUUUGGGUAAGCAAUAUUCUCUCGAAAUUAGGAACGUUAAUCUGUCCAAGAAAAUUCAUGACCACCAAAUGAAACACUAAAUUGUAGAAAACAGAAUAUGCAUAAAUACGUUCUGGUGGCAAAUCUUUGAAUUUAUUUUUUUCCUUUGUUUACUUGGAUUCAAAGACAAACAGCAAGGACUGUUGUGCCAAUACAAGAGAGUAACCAAAGAGAAAGGAACUCAAUGGGAAGAUCCCUGAAAUUCCAUGGUUACCUACCUCAAAGCACCCAAUUGUUGCAACCAAAUCUAGAAUUUUCGAAAUUGAUUCAUUGCUUAACGAUGCUAAAGACUCAUAAUUAAGUUUUGAUGGAUUGCGAAUGAAUUUUUGCCUUGGGAAGACUCGAUCAAGAAACCUGAGAUACCCAGAAAUUUCAUGAUCGAAAUCAGCAUCUCUGAAUUGGCUUUGCACAAAUCCGGUGGAAAGUGGAGGAGAUUAGAAAUUUUAAUGGGAUGGGGUAAGAAAUGAGAUAUAUCAAACUAGAGAGAGAAAGAAAAUAGUGUAGCUGAUUAACGUGUUUAGUGGCUUAGAGUUAGGAGGUAACCAAAAUUAAAUAUUUUGUUAUAAACCUUAAAAGAAUUCUAUAUAAUAUAAUUUUUUUAAAUAGUAUUUAUUUAAAAGAAAUAAAGUGUUAACAUUUUCUAUAGACAAUAAAAAUUUCAUGUAAAUAGCUUCUAAUAUGGACUAAAUGAUAAUACCCAUUUUGAAUUGCCAUACUUGUUUAUCAACGGGCAGCAGCGUUAUAUUGCCAUACUUGUUAGGAAAACAGAACAUGCUGAAUUUUGGCUUUGAAAAUUGCCAUACUUGUUUAAGGAAAAUAAAAAAGAAAAAUUGCAAUUUCAUUAAUAGAUUUUGUUCUAUUCAGUUAUGCAUUGACAAAGAAUAAAUUAGAGAUGAACAAAUGAUGUAAAAUACCAAAAAAUAAUUAGUUUGCUUUGUCGAAUCCCAUCUGUUUGCUUUGAUUACAUUUUCUUUAAUAGUUCAAAAGAUAAAAUCUAAAUUUCCAAUCAUGAAUUAAUAAAAAUUCAAAAUUCUCUGAUGAAUAGUUGAAAUGAAGAAAAUUAAGUAAUGAAUAUAACAGGCUAUUUAUGCAAAGACCAAUUGAAAUCUAGCACAAAGACCCACUUCAUAAAUAGAAUAGAAACAUUUAAAAACUAGCCAUUCAACCACAAAAAACACAAGCAUUAUCGGCAUUUGACGCAUGCCAUAGUGCCGAAGGUGCAGCAGAACCAAACACAAUGGGUUUUGAGAAGAGAUCUCUACAUUCUUAAAUGUUUCACUAAGUUUCAAACAUCAUAACAAUGUUCUAGAGUUUCACACUUUAAUACAGUGUGCUAUAGGUUUACAUGUAAAAUUUCAAAAUUUUGUCAUACUAUACUGAAAAUUUUCGUAUUUAAGAGUAUUUUUAUUUAAAAUUUAUUUUUGUGAGGAGUGGAAAAAUUUUGGUUAGUUUUGGGACUUAUGCCAAAUAGGGUGAAAAGUGGGGAGAAAUUAAAAAAUAUCCAAAUUUACAAGUGGUUAUUCGAAAAUAGUCACAAUUUUAAAAGUAAUAAAAAUUUAGCCAUUUUUUAUGUAAAGAUAAAUUUGAACGAAAACACUUAUCAAAAUUCGAAAAAUACUUUAGCAUAAUAUUCUGGAGUUCUAGCAUAAGUAGACCGGAACUCUAGUAUAUUAUAAUGGAGUUCCAGCAUAAGUAUACUGAAACUCCAUCAUAGUAUACUGGAGUUCCAGUAUAAUAUACCAAUACAACAUAAUAUGAUAGAAGUUCAUACACAUGUGCUUCAAUCUCCAGUAUAUUAUGCUGGAACUUUCCACGUGUUGGAAUUCCAAUAUAAUAUGCUAGAAGUUCAUACACAAGUGCACCAAUUUCUUGUAUAUUAUGCUGGAUUGGUCCCUGUUAUAGCAAAAUAGUGGCUAUUUUUCAACCGCUGCAAAUGUUGACUAUUUUUGAAGGAAUUUUUAUCUCCUAUAGCAAAUGUUAACACCUUAUUUAUUUUAAAUAAAUAUUAUUUAAAAAUAUUGUAUUCUAUGGAUAUCUUUUAAGGUUUAUAGCAAAAUAUUUAAUUUUGGCGAUCUCCUAGCCCUAAGCCACUAAAUACGCCAAUCCAAUCAGUUACAAUAUUUUCUUUCUCUCUCUUUCCCAUCCCAUUUAAAUUUCAUUCUCUCCAUCUUAGUUCGGUUGCGAUUCUCUUCCUCUUUCUCUUGAACUACAUCGCCAGCACUCAUCGAUCUCAACCGGAUUCUUCGAUGUAUCUUCACCGUUCAGUAAUUCCUAUAGGAUGAGAUGGCUGAGAAAGGGAUUAAACGAAAUGUUGUAAUAUAUACUACUCUGAUACGCGAGUUUUGCAGUGAGGAUAAAAUAGUGGAAGAUGAAAGGCUCUUCCGGCAUCAGCCAUCUUUGCCAUAGCCAUCCAUCAGAGUAUUAUAAGUGUAAAGAUUAGGCUUAACUCCAACCUCCCGCAUUUUCAUGGACAUGCUUUCAGCAUGAUGAAUCAUGGAAUUCUUCCGAUUAUUAUUAGUUUUGGUAUCUUGAUCGAUAUGCUCUGCAAAGUGGGUAAAGUGAUAGCAGCGAGGAAUUUCUUUGCAUCUAUGGUGAAGUUUGGGGUACUUCCCAAUUUAUUUAUCUAAAGAAAUAUGCAGAUGCUCAUUAUGAGUUUGUAAUAUUUCAAAUACAAGACUCAUCCCUCCUUAUCUAAAAUAUUUCAUUAUUUAUUAUUAUCAUUAUUAUUAUUAUUAUUAUUAUUAUUAUUUUACUGUUCAAACUCAUGCUCUAUGAUUUUUUUCCAUUAUAAUUCAAUGCAUGUAUUUUAUGUAUUUUAUUGUAUUCAAUAUCUUUAUUUUUCAUUGUAUUUCAAUGUAUCCCGCUGUAUUAUAUGUAUUUCAUUGUAUUCACUGUCUCGCUAUAUGCAAUCAAUGUAUUCAUAAGUUUUUUUAAUUAAUAUAAUUUAUGUAUUCAGAUGUAUUAUAAUUUUUCUAAAGAUUUCUAUGUUUUUGAGGUAUUUUUCGGCUAAGAAUAUUUUUUAUAAUUGAAAAUACAAAUUUUAUGCGUUAUAAUUGAUUUUGUUGAGUUAUAUUAGGAGUCUUUAUGUUAAUUGAUUCAUUUUCCCCUUUAAAAACAGUGCAAUCCCCUAUUUCACACCGUGAAUAUAAUCGAAUGCAAUAAUCUGUCCAGCUAUAAUCACAUGUUUUAUUCCAUGAAUACAGUAGAAUACACUCGAAUACAAUAACUGAUUAGUUGGACUUUCCUAAUUUACGCAUAUUUUUGCUACUGUAUUCGUAUAUACAAUAACUUAAAUAUAUAAAAUGCAUUUUAUAACCAAAUAAAAAAUAUUUAUAAUUCAUAAUAUAGUAAAUGAUAUGUAUAAAUAACUAAUUAUUAUUAAAAAAUAAUAUUUUAUAAAAAUUACCACUAAAAAAUAAUACUUUAUGAAAAUUUAACAUUUUUAAAUAACAAGUCCUGGCUAGCGCUCGCUAUUUUUAGCGAAAAGUGACUAUUAGCCCAUUAAAAAAAUUCGGAUCUCAUUCAAAAGUCGACUCUCUGACCCAGAAGUAGACAGAGUCAUCUUCUUCGUUAGCACAUCUUCUUCUCGAUACAACGCACGAGAGAGCGAAGAGAAUAAAGCCUUCUAAAGCAAUCGAAAUGGUAAGAAUCAAAUCCAAUUCCCUCUCCUUAAUUUCAUUCCAUAAUCAAUUUUAUAUGAGUUUUUGAUUUUCAUUUUUUCGCAAAUAUUACAGGUUUGCGUAGCGUGUUUAAUACCGCUGUUCCUCGUCCCGAUCGUUAAUUUAUUACCUGUUAUCUUCCAUAUUCUCAUGGUAAGAUCCUUAAAUACUAAAUUAACCCGUUAAUUUUGAUGCUUACAACGCUAAUUUUUCGUUUAUUUUUUUGUGUGGAUUUUUUAGUCAAAGAUUUAUAGAAUGUUUGGGAAGGAGUAUCAGAGACCGGAAAGAGCACCUCCUGCUUGUCCUUUUAAUCCAUCAGCUGCUAAACCGAACAAUUCUGUAAGUCGUUCAAUUAUAAUGGCGUGACCUUUUGUUUUACGUGUUGACUUGCUUGAAAAACUUGUAAGCCACCAAAACCAAUAAUUCUUCAAGUCAUUUGAUUAUAAAGGCGUGAUCUUUUGUUUAGACGCGUUGACUUGGCUGAAAAAUUUAUUCUUGUUGGGAAAUAUAGGAGCUGGAUCUUGUGUCGUGGCCUAGGUCCAUUGACUGCUUUGGCGUAAACAUAAGUCUUUUGGGACUCAUGGUCUUGUCCCUAAUUUGUCACGACCCAAACUAGGGGGCAGUGGCUUAUUUCCUAGAGUGUUUGAUUGAAAUUCAGUGGUGCACAUGUGUGUAUACGGAAUAGACAUACAUAUCUCAAUAAGCGGAAUGGAAAACUAUUGGGAUUGAUGCUAGUUGAUUGAUAUAAUAUGUAUGUGUGUGUUUUGGGUAGUUGGAUAUAUCUGUUGUUUGGGUAAUUCAGUGAACAGGUUGUUUGGAAUUUGGAUAUAGGAAAUGCAAAAACCCUUUAGCUCUCUUCAGGAAAGAGUUGUUUUUGUUGAAAUUAGUAACCUCCUUGUGCCUGUAAUACCCUUUUAUUAAGGGAAACAUCAGAAUUUGGUACAAAGGAAAAUGUUGUCCAUGGAAAAUAUUUUCUUGAAACAUGUUUCUUAAGUAGUACUUAGUAUUUUAACUUAUUUUUCAGUGUUCUGUUGGUGCGUAAAGUUGCCCUGCCCUCAGUUAGCCUUACGGUCCAUCAUGGAAAAUUCCUAUGGAAACAGGAAAUCUGCCAUCCAAAGUAGUAAGUGCAAGGUAAGUUUGGUCAUUUACCAUCCCCUCGGUUCUAUCCAUUUCACCUACUUUCUGGCGAACUAGAAAAUAGAUCAGAAGCUUGGAAAAUUCUAUAUCUGGAAAAUGUCUUCCCCACUCUUCCAAGGGAAGUUACUUUCCAGAAAUUAGAGGAGAAUUCCUUCUUAAGCAAAAUUUUUUUCAGAGAAAAAUUGGAAUAUGUUUUGCUUAUACCAAACCGACCUGACUGUCUGAAUACCCGAACAGUAUUCGUGAUAAUAAUUGGUACGAAAAUGGAUAUGGAUCUAACUCAACCCAUUAGCUAGCCCAUGAGGUGAGGAUUUUCUAAGACCGUAUAAAGAGACAAGUCACCCUUAACCCGCCUGUGUGGGAACUCAACAAUAACAUUUAGAAAAUGUUUUUUGAAGAUGAAUGGCCCCAUCCAAGAGGGGUUGCUCUGAUGGUAUGCAAUCCCCACUUCCAACCGAGAGGUUGUGAGUUCGAGUCUCCCCAAGAGCAAGGUAGGGAGUUCUUGGAGGGAAGGAUGCCGGGGAUCUAUUUGGAAACAGCCUCUCUACCCAAGGGUAGGGGUAAGGUCUGCGUACACACUACCCUCCACAGACCCCAUUUUGGCGUGCAUGCUCUUUGGAAUUUCGAGAAAAUAGGAACAAAACAUAUUUUUGAAUGUCGGGUCUGUGUAGUCUUGAGGCAAGCUGGAACGUGCAAGUAACGAUCUGCUUCAAACAAAUGCAGCUUUCGAUUGCCAAAAGUCUAGCCCUAUUUGGAGGGAAGGAUGCCGGGGGUCUACUUGGAAACAGCCUCUCUACCCAAUGGUAGGGUUAAGGUCUGCGUACACAAUACCCUCUCCAGACCCCACUAAGUGGGAUUAUGCUGGGUUGUUGUUGUUGUUGUUGUUGAAUGGCCCCAACCUGAUAAAUCUUUGAGGAUAUUCAACAAAUGAUGCUAGGACUCUGGGUAUUUAGGUGAACAUGGUCUAUACUUGUUUCUAGAUGUUCAUGAUGACGAGUACCAUGAAACCAAAGAACAAAGUUGAAUGAAAGGUUUCACAAUGAGCAAAGCACCCAAAGAACUUAACAUCAACCUUGGACUUUGUUUUCAGUUGGGAUUCUCGAGUAUAGUUUUCGCUUAAUUUCUCUAAUUUUAAUGAUAGACAAAUAGGAAGAAAUGUGCUUGGUACUUGGGAAGGAAAUUUGGGUCGUCGUUCUUAUCCUAUCAAUUUUAUCUAGUUAGCUGAAAACUGAAUAGUUCCUAUAGAAAAAUUUCCUGUCCGUGUGAGGUUCAUAAUGGAAGGGAACACUUUCUCCAUUGAUCUACCAUUUGAGUUCAAGCUUUUUGUAGAGUACUUGGAAAUUUGUAUGAUGAGGUUCAAGCGUUUGGUUAUUCCGUUAAUAUGAAAUUUAGUUUUAGAUAUGACUCUCAAAGCAACUGAAAUAUUUCUGCGAGGAGAGAGUAUAAAAUUAUUUUGUUAAUAGAACACUUGCAAAAGUCUUGUAGUUUGUUUUACGUCGCCCUAAGACUGUUGGGACACAUAAUGCUUGCAGAAAUGUUUACGGGUAAAUAACCAAAUUAAAAUGGAGAAAUAAGGAAACCGAGAUAUAAGAAAAAACCUAGUCCCGAGAGGGUCAAAAUAAUAUUACUAUAUUAAGAUUAUACUCUGUACUCAAGUAUCACAAAGUCCUCUAGACUCGAAAGAAAUUCCCACUUUUGAAGUGUUUAUACUAAAAACCACUUAAAACUCUCUUUGUUUUUCCUCACAAUUACUAUUUUUUUCUAAAAAUGGGAUAAUACAAACGAGAGAGAAGUUCCCUUAUUUAUAGGAGUAGAAUAUCCAUGAUGAUGUCAUUGAUGACAUCGAUGGGAAAUACAAAUGCAAUUGUGAAAUCAUUUAAUGGUCGGUUGGCCAAAUUCAAACUUACUGAAGAUUUUAUUGUUUGCUUUGACAUUCUUGUAAAAAAGAAGAGUUUCAUCCUUUAUCAAAGGCCAAUGGGGUCGGAACUCACAAACCCCCCUUCCAAACCCAUGCACCUAACUGAGGUGUAUUUGAUUUCUCAGAUAGAGAAAGAGCUCAUGCAGACAAGUCUAUUUGUAUUACUCGGAGUCAGUGUUUGGAAAAGCGCGUGCUUUGUCGCUUAAAGCGCGCAGCGACGCGAAGCGGCAGAGCAUCGCUUUUCUGUGCCUAAGGCGACGCGAACAGUUGAAGCGCACACUUCAGAGGAAAAAUCGACGAGGCGAGCGAAGCGACAAAUCGAUCGCUUUUGUUCAAAAACCGCAGCUGGGACUUAAAAAAAAGAAAAAGAUUGGGUCUAUUUUUAAAUUUUAAAAAACAAACCCCUAACCUCGCUUCUGUAGUUGCUUGACAAAACAAGAACCCCUUCUCUCUUCUUCAUCGAGAAAUCUAGGGUUUCCAGGUAAGUUUCUUCGUUUCCUUUCUUCUUCUCAUUUUUUCUUUCUUCUUCUUGUUCCCGUCCAGAUUCUGCUCUUUUUUUCUUUCUUUUUCCUUUUUUCUUCCCUCUUCUUCUUCUCUUCUCUUUUCACCUUUUCUCCUCCCGUGUCUGCAGCUAGGGCAGGCGUUGGUUUUCUUUUUUCCCUCCCUUUUAUUCUUCUUAAUUUUAAUAUGUAUUUUAAUUUAUAAAAUUACUUAUUAUAUAUAUGUUUUAUAUCUUUCAGUUUAUAUGUUUUUUUAAUGUGUAUUUCAGUUUAUAAAAUUAAUUAUUUUAUAUAUGUUAUAUUUUCAGUUUAUUUGAUUAAUUUUAUAUGUAUUUCAGUUUAGAAAAUUAAUUAAUAUAAAUAAAAUAAAAUAUAACAUAUAUAUAUAUAUGUUAUAUAUUAGAUUAUUUGAUUUUUUAUAAUGUGUAUUUCAAUUUAUAAAUCAAUUAUUAUAUAUAUGUUAUAUUUUCAGUUUGAUUAAUUUUAUAUGUAUUUCAGAAAAUUAAUUGUUAUAUAUAUGUGUGUGUGUGUUAGUUUAUUUGAUUUUCGAUUUAUAAAUUAAUUAUUAUAUAUAUUAUAUGUAUUUUCAUAAUUGCGCUUCACUUCAAUGAAGCUUUGCGCUUCAUUUUUUAAGCGAGGCGAGCCCCAACCGUUUUUUGCACUUCGCGCUCUCAAAAACACUGCUCGAAGUUGUCUCUCAGGAUCACCUUGGCUAACAUAUUCUCAGGAUAUUUGCUCGUGUGAAUCUUUUUGAAAUUCGUCUUUGACUUGCUCAUUAAUCCAAUGAUAUCUCUGGUUGAUGUGUUUUAUUCUUGUACGAUACAUAGAGUUUUUACUAAGUGUAUUGCACUUUGAUUAUCACAAUAGAUAGUAUACUCUUUCUGAUUGCGUGGGAGAUUUAUGGGUCAAGCCUCCAGACUCAAGCGCACUCUUUCUUUUGACAAGGUCAAACAACAACAACAACAACUACCCAGUAUACUCCCACCAGGUGGGGUCUGGGGAGGGUAAUNNNNNNNNNNNNNNNNNNNNNNNNNNNNNNNNNNNNNNNNNNNNNNNNNNNNNNNNNNNNNNNNNNNNNNNNNNNNNNNNNNNNNNNNNNNNNNNNNNNACCCGAAAGGGCAGAGAGGCUGUUUCCAAUCGACCCUCGGCGCAUAGGAUAAAAGGAAAAACAGCAGUAAAACAAAAACAAAGACAAAACAAAACAAAAACAAAAACAAUAGAGCAUUACUAACUCCCGCAGAAAUUGCGUAAAUAAUUAUCUAAACAUAAGAAAUAUAAAUACAAUCGCAUGCAAUAAUAUCAUACAGUAACUACCAUAACUAACAGCCAUAGGGGGGACAUAAGCUAAGCUAAA